GUCCACGCCGUAAACGAUGGAUACUAGCUGUUGGGAGCAAUCUCAGUUGCUAAGCGAAAGUGAUAAGUAUCCCACCUGUGGAGUACGUUCGCAAGAAUGAAACUCAAAGGAAUUGACGGGGGCCCGCACAAGCGGUGGAGCAUGUGGUUUAAUUCGAUGAUACGCGAGGAACCUUACCAAGGCUUAAAUGUAGAUUGACCGGUUUGGAAACAGAUCUUUCGCAAGACAAUUUACAAGGUGCUGCAUGGUUGUCGU
RNAcentral lists this ribosomal RNA (255 nucleotides) under uncultured bacterium. RNAcentral's name for it is "partial 16S ribosomal RNA". It matches the Rfam family "Bacterial small subunit ribosomal RNA", at positions 793 to 1055 of the family's 1533-position model. The record is from RNAcentral.